Molecule: ribosomal RNA, 417 nt
Filed under: uncultured eukaryote
Lineage: Eukaryota
Description: bacterial SSU rRNA
Rfam family: Eukaryotic small subunit ribosomal RNA
Source: RNAcentral
CAAUAGCGUAUAUUAAAGUUGUUGCGGUUAAAAAGCUCGUAGUUGGAUUUCUGUUGAGGAAGUCCGGUCCGCACUUUGUGCGUGAUCUGGUUCUGCCUCGGCAUCCUCGCGGGGAACGCGCUGCGCUUGAUUGCGUGGUGUGGUAUUCGCGACUUUUACUUUGAGGAAAUUAGAGUGUUCACGGCAGGCAUUCGCCUUGAAUACGUUAGCAUGGAAUAAUAGCAUCGGAUCAUCGUUCAGCUGUUGGUGUCUGGACGAGGAUAAAGGUGAACAGGGAUUGUUGGGGGCAUUCGUAUUUAACUGUCAGAGGUGAAAUUCUUGGAUUUGUUGAAGACGAGCUACUGCGAAAGCAUUUGCCAAAGAUGUUCUCAUUGAUCAAGAACGAAAGUUAGGUGAUCGAAGACGAUCAGAUACCGU